AGACUUAACCGAUCGGAUGUGGGAGAGAAAUAUUUACUCCCGGUUGAUAACUCCAACUGGGACUAAAGAUCGAUCUUUAGUCCCGGUUGGUAUUACCAACCGGGAGUAAAGAUCGCUCGAUCUUUAGUCCUGGUUGGUAGUAUCAACCGGGACUAAAGAUUCUCGAACCCCUGACAUACAUCUGACAGGGGAUGAACCGGGACUACAAAUCAUCUUUAGCCCCGAUUGGUGUUACUAACCGGGACUAAAGAUCAAAAUUUUUUAAACCGGGACUAAAAAUCGUUUUUAGUCCCGGUUUUUAAUGGAAACGGGACUAUUGUGAAAUUUGGUCGACUGACCAAAGAUGGUUUCUUCAACAGUGUAUAGUCCGUUCACAAAAAGAGAAAAAAAGACUGGUAUUUCAGCUUCUCUAGAAGUUAGUGCGGAGUUUAUAAAAAAAGAACUGCUAUUUCAGUUACACUGAUCAGAAGAUUGUGCUGUGAUAAUUAGUAGAAAACACAAUCAAGUUGUAGGGUAAUUUCAGAGUUCAGGUAAAAUGCAAUCUUCUCAGUACUAUAAAAUGACUACUGAAAGCCAGUAAUGUUGAUCAGAAACAAUCAUCAUGUACUAGAGAAGUAAAGCCAAGCAGCCAAGCAUAGAUCGGCAGCAUAUAUACCCCAUACUAUGCACAGUUCGCAAGACCUAUAUCGCUUCAUUCUGAGUAUUGCAUUACUAGUUUCUUAUCACUUUUUUUUUUGACCAGGAGUUUCUUAUCACUUAAUCAAUGCCAUACAAAAGACUGGACGAAGUGCCUAAAAAGACUUAUACAACUAGCAGACAGAGUUUCAAAAGAUACAAGUAAGAAUAUAAGAUUGAUGAUGAGUGGUUAAGAAAUUUAUUUCUUUAGUGAAGAUCAAAAAUGAGGGUCUUUUUCGAAAAAAAAAAGAUCAAAGACGAGGGAAGAGCCUAGACAAAAGCCUAGUAGACAGAGUUUCAAAAGAUACAAGGAAGAAUAUAAGAUUGAUGAUAAGUGGCUAAGACAUUUAUUUUUAAGUGAAGAUCAAAGUCGAGGGAAGAGCCUAGACAAAAGCCAGGACCAUCGAAUUAUAGAGUUAUAUCCUUUGGAAAAGAUUCCUUAGGUUUUUUUUGGGUGGUGUGCCUUUUUUUCAGCAUACCCUGUAAAUAUUGUUUGCACCUUGUGUGUUUGUCCCUGUUCUAUCAAUAUACACGUAGACAAAACUUUUGCCAGUCUUAGGAAAAAAGAAAUUUCAUACUUGGUAAUUUCUUAAAACAUUAUUAUAUCAAUAUAAACACGUGCUCAAAUAGCCUACAUAUUAAUUUUAUUGUUUGAAUAUAUUAAUUACCAGCACACUUGAUCAGACAAAAGAUUGUUUGUGAUAAACUUUUCCUUUUCAACGUUUAAUUAGUUUUUUUUUCUUCUCCUUUAUUCAUUCCAGAUAUAUUUGCCCAAAAAAAGCAUCUGAACAGUUGGCACCGAGAAACGAUGUUAUUAGUACCAAAUUAAACUAGAUGGAUGAAGAUUAACAUAGAGGAGUAGUUCUAUUUUGACCAAAUCAAAUGUGAUGCAUAUGU
RNAcentral lists this long non-coding RNA (1572 nucleotides) under Oryza sativa Japonica Group (Japanese rice). RNAcentral's name for it is "partial lncRNA121908". Lineage: Eukaryota; Viridiplantae; Streptophyta; Magnoliopsida; Poales; Poaceae. The record is from RNAcentral.